GGUCCGAUUAGGACUAGCCUUGAACCCAACUGGACCUGACCCUAACCCCACCCAAUCCAACUUAGCCUAACUCGACCUGAUAUAUAAAUAAAUAUUUAUAUUUAUGCUUUAUAUAAGUUACUUAUAUGUCUAUAUAAUUGUGUUUUUAAUCUUAUUAAUCUAUAUGUAUGUAUAUUAUUGAAACUUAUGAAAAUAUUCAAAAUCUUCUCCUAUCUUAAAAUUCCUAUUUAACUCAAUUUAAAUCAAUCAUA
RNAcentral lists this long non-coding RNA (251 nucleotides) under Phoenix dactylifera (date palm). Its description in RNAcentral is "long non-coding RNA (PDAC_LNC006754)". The record is from RNAcentral. Lineage: Eukaryota; Viridiplantae; Streptophyta; Magnoliopsida; Arecales; Arecaceae.